Polypterus senegalus (gray bichir) is the source of this 1946-nucleotide long non-coding RNA. RefSeq lists it as uncharacterized. NCBI's taxonomy places the organism in Eukaryota, Metazoa, Chordata, Cladistia, Polypteriformes, Polypteridae. The transcript is spliced from 3 exons. The record is from RefSeq and is a predicted model, not a curated record.
CAUUCAUCUGGGCACGAAUUCUACAAGAUAGCAAGUAGCUGGGCUGCCACAAUUGAAUGGACACCAACAAUCUGUGCAUUCCUUGCUAUGCUGCACUGGACUGAACCAAGACAAACCAUGAAUACUUUGUGAAGAAUGACGCAUGGACAAAGUUCUUGGUCAACCAAUGAAAUGGUCAUUCAUGAAAAGCUGAUGCUACGACCAACAAGCCUUGUGCUGAUCAUCAUGCCACAUUCAUCCAACUGGCAUCCUCACUUUCUGCCCCAACCACCUCAACUCUCAUUCUUUAUGUCACUUGUGAUGAAGGACGUGGAGAGACCCUAAGCAAUACGGUGGCAAGGUAUUGACAGAGAAGAAGGCUUUGUGACAGCUGAAUCUGACAAGAAUGUUGACAUGAUGUGUAGCAAACCCAUGUGGGGGUGGAGAAAGGGCAGCACCAUUAGAACUUUCAAAUUAUGCACUUAAAACUACAAUAGAAAUUGCAGAAAUUUGGAGAGGCUCCCUCAAACUGGAUCCAUCAGCUGUGACUAAAGCCGAUCUUGAUGGGGUAGUUGAUUUAAUGACAAAUUGAAAGCUCGGCCCAAAGCAUUAACUUCAGCUUUACCACUAAAAUUCAAUACACUACAGUAUUUACAAACCUGCUGCAGCUGCAGUGAUUCAUCGGUCUAUUUCAGGAUCACUUCCAUCAUUUUUUAUUGUGAACAGGACCAUGAAUUUCAUGAUCAAUUUCACUCUGAGCAGUUGCUUCUUCUUAGCAAGUCAAACUUUCUUUUUUUGUAUUUUUUUGGAGAGCAUCAGGACCUAAGAUUGAGAGGUGCUAAUUCUGAUCCUCAUAGUCAGCUGUGAACUACUCCAGUGUGUGCCAAACAUUCGGGUCUGAUGAGGCCAAGCGGCUGUGCACGAAAAAGCCUGAACAGGAGAGGACACAAAAUGAACCUUUGGCAGAGACCACCAAAGAGUCAACGUAACAUCAAGCAUGCAUGCAGAGGUCUUGUUUUGCAAGAACAUUCACCAAACAGCAUGAAGAGUAGUCUCAGGUCAUAUACUGUCAUAGCAGGGCACAUGUGGUUAAAAUUCUUCUCCACGUCUACGACUCCCAUGACCACUUAAAUAUUUGUACACAUAAAAAGGGUUGGUCAGUUUAAUGGCCAGAAAGGAAUUUGUGUUAUUCUUACUGGAUCUGUAAUUUAUCAUCUGGAGUAUACUCUGGAGAGGCUUUCAAAUGCAGUCCUGCCCCCUUUUUAAAAACCGAUAUCACUACUGGAGUCUGGCAGUUUGGAAGCAAGAUGUCCAUAUCUUGCAAGCAACAGCUUAAAAAGACCGCCUCAUAGUAUCCAGUGUUUUCAGCAUUUCUGCCAUGAUCUUGUCUAUUCCUGAGGCAUUGCUACUACACAUCUAUUAAAAACACCACAGUAAAGGAUUCAGCUUCAGCGAGCUAGGAUAAGCUCCAGCUUCCGAGUGACUCUGCUCUGGAUAAGUGGAUUUAGAAAAUGGAUGGAUUUCUACUGACUUAUUCCCUUGCCGUAAAGUUCCUGAUGUUGAACCUUUAAGAAACUCUGCGAUGCACAAACUACUCCACUACACCAAAGCUCACAAAUCCUGGAAUAAUGUUCUUUCAAAUGCAUAUAUUUAAAAGAAAAUCUAAAGCUAAAACAAAAUAAAAAUAAGACAUCUUCUUAUUUCCUGUGCUGCAGGGACAAACUCAGGAAACCCAGUGGCCUGCACUUUGACAGAGCCGAUAUACGAACAAUGGAUGAAUGCAGACCUUUUCUGAAUUUUCUUUGAACUUUUCCUAAAACGUCCCUUCUAUUUCAGACAGGCUCCCUCCUCCAAGCAGACACUCUGUACUCAUCAGCACAUUUAAGAAUUAAUCCCCAGCUUCUGCUUUUAUUUUAUUAGUUCAAUAUGUCUGUAAUCAAACUCUGUGGGCUAAAAAUGACCGAAGC